GAGGCUGAAGCUCAGUGGGAGAGUGCUUGCCUUCCAUGUGGGAGGCACUGGGUUCGAUCCUCAGCACCACA
This 71-nucleotide transfer RNA is filed under the name Marmota monax (woodchuck). Its description in RNAcentral is "tRNA.Gly". The record is from RNAcentral. Lineage: Eukaryota; Metazoa; Chordata; Mammalia; Rodentia; Sciuridae.